RNAcentral lists this transfer RNA (73 nucleotides) under Candidatus Poribacteria bacterium. RNAcentral's name for it is "tRNA-Ile". It matches the Rfam family "tRNA". From Rfam's summary of the family: Transfer RNA (tRNA) molecules are approximately 80 nucleotides in length. Lineage: Bacteria; Candidatus Poribacteria. The record is from RNAcentral.
GGGCCCAUAGCUCAGUGGUUAGAGCAAUCGGCUCAUAACCGAUUGGUCCUAGGUUCGAGUCCUAGUGGGCCCA